AACGAACGCUGGCGGCAGGCUUAACACAUGCAAGUCGAACGCCCCGCAAGGGGAGUGGCAGACGGGUGAGUAACGCGUGGGAAUCUACCCAUCCCUACGGAACAACUCCGGGAAACUGGAGCUAAUACCGUAUACGCCCUACGGGGGCAAGAUUUAUCGGGGAUGGAUGAGCCCGCGUUGGAUUAGCUAGUUGGUGGGGUAAAGGCCUACCAAGGCGACGAUCCAUAGCUGGUCUGAGAGGAUGAUCAGCCACAUUGGGACUGAGACACGGCCCAAGCUCCUAUGGGAGGCAGCAGUGGGGAAUAUUGGACAAUGGGCGCAAGCCUGAUGCAGCCAUGCAGCGUGAGUGAUGAAGGUCUUAGGAUUGUAAAGCUCUUUCACCGAUGAAGAUAAUGACGGUAGUCGGAGAAGAAGCCCCGGCUAACUUCGUGCCAGCCGCCGCAGUAA
This 447-nucleotide ribosomal RNA is filed under the name uncultured bacterium. RNAcentral describes it as "partial 16S ribosomal RNA". It matches the Rfam family "Bacterial small subunit ribosomal RNA", at positions 29 to 523 of the family's 1533-position model. The record is from RNAcentral.